This 207-nucleotide ribosomal RNA is filed under the name uncultured bacterium. RNAcentral describes it as "partial 16S ribosomal RNA". It matches the Rfam family "Bacterial small subunit ribosomal RNA", at positions 568 to 774 of the family's 1533-position model. The record is from RNAcentral.
CUCGUAGGCGGCCAACUAAGUCAGACGUGAAAUCCCUCGGCUUAACCGGGGAACUGCGUCUGAUACUGGAUGGCUUGAGAUUGGGAGAAGGGAUGCGGAAUUCCAGGUGUAGCGGUGAAAUGCGUAGAUAUCUGGAGGAACACCGGUGGCGAAGGCGGCAUCCUGGACCAACACUGACGCUGAAUAGCGAAAGCCAGGGAGCAAACG